GUCCCAGUGGCCUAAUGGACAAGGCACUGGCCUCCUAAGUCAGGGAUUGUGGGUUCAAGUCCCACCUGGGGUG
Non-coding RNA from Bos taurus (domestic cattle), 73 nucleotides. The record is from Rfam. Lineage: Eukaryota; Metazoa; Chordata; Mammalia; Artiodactyla; Bovidae.